This 1616-nucleotide long non-coding RNA is filed under the name Capsicum annuum. RNAcentral describes it as "long non-coding RNA (CANN_LNC018659)". The record is from RNAcentral. Lineage: Eukaryota; Viridiplantae; Streptophyta; Magnoliopsida; Solanales; Solanaceae.
UGCCAUUUGAGUGUGUAAAUUUUACCAUUACUAUGUUGUUGGUGAUGAGAAGAUUUCUUGGGCAGUAUCUGGAAGAGAAGUAUCCCCAACGAGCAUUGUUGCCUCAGGAUCAUCAGAAAAAAGCAAUCAACUAUCAGGUACAGAGGAAACAAACUAAAGAAAACAAACUAUAGGUUUUCAGGUACUUCUAUGAUAAUUGUCGAUUACCAGGGAGAGCGAGUAUGCUGCCUGGACCCUUGUCAAUGGAUAUGCGUUGAAUCAUGUUACCAUAUCUACCCAUUGCUUGAGAUCAAAUCUGAGAAGCAUCGGAAAACUAAAUCAAUUUAUUGAGGAAAAUGGUUUCAAUUUGAACUAUGAAGGGGGUAUUCUAAAAGGUUAGUACAAAGUAACUUUUAUGUAAUAGUAAUAUUGCAUACUUAACUAUAACUGCAUCAUAAUUCAUAUCAUAAGGAUAUACUCAAAUACACUGUUUAUUGGCUCGCUCUUUUACUUGAUGUGUUCUCAGUACGUUCAGUAUUUAACAUUCCAGCAACCGUUUGAAACCAAGAUCUCUAAACUUGAUAACACGUUAUGCUUAGAUCGCCAAAUUUUGUGAAACCUAGAUUAAUCUAUUAGUCAAUAGGGGACUUAAAAGGACAGAUCUCUGUGUAUUUGUUUGGUACUUCAAUAAACGAAAUCCAGGUCGAAGAGCUUUUCAGUGCUGGUUUCUAUUACUUCUUUUCGCGUCAGAAGGUUAUUGCUCAUCAUAUUUUCGAAUAUACAGAACAUGUACUGAUCUCCAACUAUUCAUCUUCAUCCGCAGAAUCUGUUGGUUAUGAAAUCUUGUUCUUUUAAGAGAUAACUGUUCUUUUUUAAAUGGUCACCGGAUAUUGCAAAGAAGUUUUGAUGUAUUCUUUGCCUCACCAGUGAGCCCUGAUGGUCUUCUUCUGCAAAGUUCAACCGUCAGGUUUUAUGCAUAUUUCUCUGUAGUGUAAAAGCAACUAUAUACGGGAAGUAAAACAUGUGUCACCUGUGCAGUCAUUCUGCACCACACAUUGAAUCUUCCUUAUUUCCUCCAAAGUUGGAAAAUGGUUAAUCAUGCCUGUUCAAAAACUUAUAUGGCAAUGUAACAGAAUAAAAUACCAUUUAAUUCUUGAAAGGGAAAACAUUGUCUGUUAAGUUGAAAAAACUAAAAACAUCAUCUUUUAUGAAUUUGAAUGCAUGCUUAUUGUAAUAUCCUUGAUUCAGAGUGGUCUCGAGGUUUAAGUUCCAUGAGUGGGACUCAACUAAAUUCGCAAUGCUGCCUCUUGCUUUAGUUGAAUUCGCGUCCUGGAAGCUUUGCUGAAAUACUUGCUAAACUUCUUUUUUCCCCGUGAUUGCAUAUUGUCCUUUUCUGAAACAUGACAUGUUGAAACAUUUCCGAAGGAUUAUGUCGGGCAAGAAUUGCAGAAACACAAACAUCUAGAAUGAGAUAAUAUAUAUACAUUAAUAAGUGAAGCAAUUUUGGAUUCAAUACAUAUUUUAAGAAGCUAAGAAGAGAAACUAAGAAGGGAAGAUAUUUUCAGAGGAAGCUGAGAAGUGAAAUAUUUUCUGAGAAGGUAUGGAAAUGUAGUUGCAGAAAUUGGGAAAGUGAGAAG